RNAcentral lists this ribosomal RNA (1678 nucleotides) under Salmonella enterica subsp. enterica serovar Enteritidis. RNAcentral's name for it is "partial 23S ribosomal RNA". It matches the Rfam family "Bacterial large subunit ribosomal RNA", at positions 1238 to 2925 of the family's 2925-position model. Lineage: Bacteria; Pseudomonadati; Pseudomonadota; Gammaproteobacteria; Enterobacterales; Enterobacteriaceae. The record is from RNAcentral.
GUCGUAACCGGGCUGAAGUCGUACCGUAAGGAGCGGUGGACUGGUUACGAGUGAGAAUGUUGGCAUCAGUAGCGAGAUGUGGGUGAGAAUCCCACAGGCCGAAAACCUAAGGUUUCCUCAGGAAGGUUCGUCCGCUGAGGGUUAGUCGGGACCUAAGCCGAGGCCGAAAGGCGUAGGUGAUGGACAACUGGUUGAUAUUCCAGUACCACUACCAUCGUUAUUAUCGAUGGCGUGACGCAGGAGGAUAGUGUGUGCUAGCUAUUGGAUGCUAGUCUAAGCGUUUAGGCAGUGAGAGUAGGCAAAUCCGCUCUCAUAAUGCUGAGGCGUGAUGGGGAAGGUUCUACGGAACCGAAGUACAUGAUUCCACGCUGCCAAGAAAAGCGUCUAGAGAGAGAAGUAGUGCCCGUACCGCAAACCGACACAGGUAGGUGAGGAGAGAAUCCUAAGGCCGGCGGAAGAAUUACAGUUAAGGAACUCGGCAAAUUGACCCCGUAAGUUCGCGAGAAGGGGUGCCUACGAGAGUAGGCCGCAGAGAAUAGGCCCAAGCAACUGUUUAGCAAAAACACAGGUCUCUGCUAAAGCGUAAGCUGAUGUAUAGGGGCUGACGCCUGCCCGGUGCUGGAAGGUUAAGGGGAACACUUAGCGCAAGCGAAGGUGUGAACUUAAGCCCCAGUAAACGGCGGCCGUAACUAUAACGGUCCUAAGGUAGCGAAAUUCCUUGUCAGGUAAGUUCUGACCCGCACGAAUGGCGUAAUGACUUGGGCACUGUCUCAACUGUAAAUCCGGCGAAGUUGUAGUGCGAGUGAAGAUGCUCGCUACCCGCGAUUGGACGGAAAGACCCCGUAGAGCUUUACUGUAGCUUAGCAUUGAGUUUUGGUAUUGUCUGUACAGGAUAGGUGGGAGACUAGGAAACCAGGGCGUCAGCCUUGGUGGAGUCAACCUUGGGAUACCACCCUGACAGUACUGAAAUUCUAACUGGCGGCCAUGAAUCUGGUCACAGGACAUUGUUAGGUGGGCAGUUUGACUGGGGCGGUCGCCUCCUAAAAAGUAACGGAGGCGCCCAAAGGUUCCCUCAGAACGGUCGGAAAUCGUUCGAAGAGUGCAAAGGCAGAAGGGAGCCUGACUGCGACACCCACAAGUGGAGCAGGGACGAAAGUCGGGCUUAGUGAUCCGGUGGUACCUCGUGGGAGGGCCAUCGCUCAACGGAUAAAAGCUACCUCGGGGAUAACAGGCUGAUCUCCCCCAAGAGUCCACAUCGACGGGGAGGUUUGGCACCUCGAUGUCGGCUCGUCGCAUCCUGGGGCUGAAGUAGGUCCCAAGGGUUGGGCUGUUCGCCCAUUAAAGCGGCACGCGAGCUGGGUUCAGAACGUCGUGAGACAGUUCGGUCCCUAUCCGUCGCGGGCGUAGGAAAUUUGAGAGGAGCUGUCCUUAGUACGAGAGGACCGGGAUGGACUGACCUCUGGUGUACCAGUUGUUCCGCCAGGAGCACAGCUGGGUAGCUAAGUCGGGAAUGGAUAAACGCUGAAAGCAUCUAAGCGUGAAGCCAACCUCAAGAUGAGAUUUCCCAUAGCGUAAGCUAGUAAGAUCCCUUGAAGAACACAAGGUUGAUAGGUCGGGGGUGUAAGCAUGGUAACAUGUUCAGCUGACCGAUACUAAUAGAUCGAGGGCUUGACCAAAU